UCAAAACAUGUCUGUAUGUUAUUUAUAUAAAGUCUGGCCUGCCCACUGAUAACAUUAAAGGGCCGCGGUAAUUUGACCGUGCGAAGGUAGCAUAAUAAGUAGUCUUUUAAUUGGAGGCUUGAAUGAAAGGUCGGAUGAGGGGCUAGCUGUCUCCCCCAGUAAUUCUAAUUUAACUUUUAAGUGAAAAGGCUUAAAUUACUUAGUGGGACGAAAAGACCCUAUAAAACUUUAUAUAAUGAAAGCUUUAUUUUCAAUUUUUGUUUAAAGUUAUUUAGAACAGGUUAUAUUUUGUUGGGGCGACAAAAAUAAAAUUUUUAACUGUUUUGAAAAUUUGAUAAUUAUAAUUAGUUUUUGAUCCUUAUUAUAGAUUAAAAGAUAAAGUUACUUUAGGGAUAACAGCGUAAUUUUCUUUGAAAGUUCUUAUUGACAAGAUUAGUUGCGACCUCGAUGUUGAAUUAAAAUUUUUAAGCAGGUGCAGCCGCUUGCUUUUAGGGUCUGUUCGACCUUUAAAUUUUUACAUGAUUUGAGUUCAAACCGGUGUGAGCCAGGUGGUU
Molecule: ribosomal RNA, 554 nt
Filed under: Pontoniopsis comanthi
Lineage: Eukaryota; Metazoa; Arthropoda; Malacostraca; Decapoda; Palaemonidae
Description: partial 16S ribosomal RNA
Rfam family: Bacterial large subunit ribosomal RNA
Source: RNAcentral